RNAcentral lists this ribosomal RNA (1361 nucleotides) under Bacillus tequilensis. Its description in RNAcentral is "bacterial SSU rRNA". It matches the Rfam family "Bacterial small subunit ribosomal RNA", at positions 81 to 1427 of the family's 1533-position model. Lineage: Bacteria; Bacillati; Bacillota; Bacilli; Caryophanales; Bacillaceae. The record is from RNAcentral.
GCUCCCUGAUGUUAGCGGCGGACGGGUGAGUAACACGUGGGUAACCUGCCUGUAAGACUGGGAUAACUCCGGGAAACCGGGGCUAAUACCGGAUGGUUGUUUGAACCGCAUGGUUCAAACAUAAAAGGUGGCUUCGGCUACCACUUACAGAUGGACCCGCGGCGCAAUAGCUAGUUGGUGAGGUAACGGCUCACCAAGGCAACGAUGCGUAGCCGACCUGAGAGGGUGAUCGGCCACACUGGGACUGAGACACGGCCCAGACUCCUACGGGAGGCAGCAGUAGGGAAUCUUCCGCAAUGGACGAAAGUCUGACGGAGCAACGCCGCGUGAGUGAUGAAGGUUUUCGGAUCGUAAAGCUCUGUUGUUAGGGAAGAACAAGUACCGUUCGAAUAGGGCGGUACCUUGACGGUACCUAACCAGAAAGCCACGGCUAACUACGUGCCAGCAGCCGCGGUAAUACGUAGGUGGCAAGCGUUGUCCGGAAUUAUUGGGCGUAAAGGGCUCGCAGGCGGUUUCUUAAGUCUGAUGUGAAAGCCCCCGGCUCAACCGGGGAGGGUCAUUGGAAACUGGGGAACUUGAGUGCAGAAGAGGAGAGUGGAAUUCCACGUGUAGCGGUGAAAUGCGUAGAGAUGUGGAGGAACACCAGUGGCGAAGGCGACUCUCUGGUCUGUAACUGACGCUGAGGAGCGAAAGCGUGGGGAGCGAACAGGAUUAGAUACCCUGGUAGUCCACCCCGUAAACGAUGAGUGCUAAGUGUUAGGGGGGUUUCCGCCCCUUAGUGCUGCAGCUAACGCAUUAAGCACUCCGCCUGGGGAGUACGGUCGCAAGACUGAAACUCAAAGGAAUUGACGGGGGCCCGCACCAGCGGUGGAGCAUGUGGUUUAAUUUGAAGCAACGCGAAGAACCUUACCAGGUCUUGACAUCCUCUGACAAUCCUAGAGAUAGGACGUCCCCUUCGGGGGCAGAGUGACAGGUGGUGCAUGGUUGUCGUCAGCUCGUGUCGUGAGAUGUUGGGUUAAGUCCCGCAACGAGCGCAACCCUUGAUCUUAGUUGCCAGCAUUCAGUUGGGCACUUUAAGGUGACUGCCGGUGACAAACCGGAGGAAGGUGGGGAUGACGUCAAAUCAUCAUGCCCCUUAUGACCUGGGCUACACACGUGCUACAAUGGACAGAACAAAGGGCAGCGAAACCGCGAGGUUAAGCCAAUCCCACAAAUCUGUUUUCAGUUCGGAUCGCAGUUUGCAACUCGACUGCGUGAAGCUGGAAUCGCUAGUAAUCGCGGAUCAGCAUGCCGCGGUGAAUACGUUCCCGGGCCUUGUACACACCGCCCGUCACACCACGAGAGUUUGUAACACCCGAAGU